RNAcentral lists this ribosomal RNA (220 nucleotides) under uncultured bacterium. Its description in RNAcentral is "partial 16S ribosomal RNA". It matches the Rfam family "Bacterial small subunit ribosomal RNA", at positions 57 to 305 of the family's 1533-position model. The record is from RNAcentral.
GCAAGUCGAACGAAGUCUUCGGACUUAGUGGCGGACGGGUGAGUAACGCGUGAGAAUCUGCCCUUAGGCGGGGGACAACCAUUGGAAACGAUGGCUAAUACCCCAUAUGGCGGGAGCUAAAAGCUUAAUGUGCCUGAGGAUGAGCUCGCGUCUGAUUAGCUAGUUGGUGGGGUAAUGGCUUACCAAGGCGACGAUGGUUAGGUGGUCUGAGAGGACGAUC